RNAcentral lists this ribosomal RNA (253 nucleotides) under uncultured bacterium. Its description in RNAcentral is "partial 16S ribosomal RNA". It matches the Rfam family "Bacterial small subunit ribosomal RNA", at positions 524 to 776 of the family's 1533-position model. The record is from RNAcentral.
UACGGGGGGAGCAAGCGUUGUUCGGAUUUACUGGGCGUAAAGGGCGCGUAGGCGGCGUGACAAGUCACUUGUGAAAUCUCCGGGCUUAACCCGGAAAGGUCAGCCGAUACUGCGGGGCUAGAGUGCAGAAGGGGCAACUGGAAUUCUCGGUGUAGCGGUGAAAUGCGUAGAUAUCGAGAGGAACACCUGCGGCGAAGGCGGGUUGCUGGGCUGACACUGACGCUGAUGCGCGAAAGCUAGGGGAGCGAACGGG